This 348-nucleotide RNase P RNA is filed under the name Candidatus Saccharimonadota bacterium. RNAcentral's name for it is "RNase P RNA component class A". It matches the Rfam family "Bacterial RNase P class A". From Rfam's summary of the family: Ribonuclease P (RNase P) is a ubiquitous endoribonuclease, found in archaea, bacteria and eukarya as well as chloroplasts and mitochondria. The record is from RNAcentral. Lineage: Bacteria; Candidatus Saccharimonadota.
CCAGAUUUUCGGCUGAUUGCCCGCUUUGGCGGGAGGAAAGUCCGGGCAGCACAUGGACAAUGGCAGUUGCUAACGGCAACCGGGGGGAACCCUAGGGAAAGUGCCACAGAAACGACACAACCUGUCUUCCUAAAGAAGGCCGGAAAUGGUGAAACGAGUGGGGUAAAAGCCCACGGCUGUGCCUGGUGACUGGCACAGGAGGUAAACCCUGCCUGCUGCAAGGAGAUAUGUCGCAUAUAGAGUGUCCGCUCGCGGCUUGUCAUAAGAACCGCUCGAAUCUAUUGGCAACGAUAGAUCUAGAUAGAUAAUCAGCUAAAACAGAACCCGGCUUACGGAAAGUCUGGCCCU